UCUGCCCCACACCCUCUGCAAAGGGGAGUUGGCGGGGCAAG
Molecule: ribosomal RNA, 41 nt
Filed under: Neolamprologus savoryi
Lineage: Eukaryota; Metazoa; Chordata; Actinopteri; Cichliformes; Cichlidae
Description: partial 28S ribosomal RNA
Source: RNAcentral